Molecule: long non-coding RNA, 308 nt
Filed under: Mus musculus (house mouse)
Lineage: Eukaryota; Metazoa; Chordata; Mammalia; Rodentia; Muridae
Description: long non-coding RNA chr2:152457770-152458078
Source: RNAcentral
AUGGCGGUCGAGGCAUUAUUUUUGCUUCCCCAUAAUGAGAUGGUGUCCGCCAAGCAGGGAGAAGUAGAAAAUGGAUGGUGUAUUUUACUAAGCUGGAGAACAUGGGGUUUUGAGUGGGAGAGGGAUUGAUAGAAAGGUUUAUGAAAGAUACUACAAGGCUCAAGGAUGAAUUAGACAUCAGAAAGUUCAUAUGUAAAGAUUUUUGGACUACAGAAUUCAAGAGACAAAUUGGCAAUCUAAGGACAAAUCAUCAGGGCAUAUAUGUUCAUCCGGACAACAAAUUCCCACUACGUAUUCAGCUGUCUGCA